This is a long non-coding RNA of Gorilla gorilla gorilla (western lowland gorilla), 301 nucleotides long. RefSeq lists it as uncharacterized. The transcript has 3 exons. NCBI's taxonomy places the organism in Eukaryota, Metazoa, Chordata, Mammalia, Primates, Hominidae. The record is from RefSeq and is a predicted model, not a curated record.
CUAGAGUGCAGUGGCACAGUCUCAGCUCACCGCAACCUCUGCCUCCGGGAUUCCAGAUCUGCAAAAUAAGUGGAAUCCCUACUCACAGAGAAAAGAAAAACUAGGUAGCCAGAAGAAUUGAAGUAGCUGCCUCUGGGGAUUGUGACUAGGAGGGCUGGAGAAACUAUGAGAGACAACAGUGGAGAAAAAGAAAAAUCUGGGAACAAAUUAAUAAAUACCUCACAAACAUUGUUCCUUGUUUUUUCAGUUCCAUAAGAUUAAAAUUCCCUAGGUUGGCCACACAUAACAAGGCUCACCAGUC